GAAUGCUGACAUAAGUAACGAUAAAGCGGGUGAAAAGCCCGCUCGCCGGAAGACCAAGGGUUCCUGUCCAACGUUAAUCGGGGCAGGGUGAGUCGACCCCUAAGGCGAGGCCGAAAGGCGUAGUCGAUGGGAAACGGGUUAAUAUUCCCGUACUUGGUGUUACUGCGAAGGGGGGACGGAGAAGGCUAUGUUGGCCGGGCGACGGUUGUCCCGGUUUAAGCGUGUAGGUGUGUGUUCCAGGUAAAUCCGGUUCACUUUAACACUGAGGCGUGAUGACGAGGCACUACGGUGCUGAAGCAACAAAUGCCCUGCUUCCAGGAAAAGCCUCUAAGCAUCAGGUAACAUCAAAUCGUACCCCAAACCGACACAGGUGGUCAGGUAGAGAAUACCAAGGCGCUUGAGAGAACUCGGGUGAAGGAACUAGGCAAAAUGGUGCCGUAACUUCGGGAGAAGGCACGCUGACACGUAGGUGAAGUGAUUUACUCA
This 486-nucleotide ribosomal RNA is filed under the name Salmonella enterica subsp. enterica serovar Heidelberg. Its description in RNAcentral is "partial 23S ribosomal RNA". It matches the Rfam family "Bacterial large subunit ribosomal RNA", at positions 1292 to 1773 of the family's 2925-position model. The record is from RNAcentral. RNAcentral also lists the same sequence under 14 other names. Lineage: Bacteria; Pseudomonadati; Pseudomonadota; Gammaproteobacteria; Enterobacterales; Enterobacteriaceae.